This 345-nucleotide unclassified non-coding RNA is filed under the name soil metagenome. Its description in RNAcentral is "partial contains 5.8S ribosomal RNA, internal transcribed spacer 2, and large subunit ribosomal RNA". The stretch from base 1 to 120 matches the Rfam family "5.8S ribosomal RNA", at positions 35 to 154 of the family's 154-position model. The record is from RNAcentral.
GAUGAAGAACGUAGCGAAAUGCGAUAAGUAAUGUGAAUUGCAGAAUUCAGUGAAUCAUCGAAUCUUUGAACGCACAUUGCGCCCCUUGGUAUUCCGAGGGGCAUGCCUGUUCGAGCGUCAUUACACCACUCAAGCUUAGCUUGGUAUUGGGCAACCGCCCCCGCCAGUCGGGGACGCGCCUCAAACACCUCGGCGGAGCCUCACCGGCUUUGGGCGUAGUAGAAUUUCUAAUAACGUCCUUUAACGGAGAUGGUUCCUUUGCCGACAGAAGCCUUUAUUUUUCUAGGUUGACCUCGGAUCAGGUAGGGAUACCCGCUGAACUUAAGCAUAUCAAUAAGCGGAGGA